CUGGGGGCAAACCACUAUGUACAGUGCAUGUGUGGCGGCGCAUGCAUGCGCUGUACAUAGCAACGCCGCACAUGCACUGUACAUAGUGGUUUGCUGCUGG
Podarcis lilfordi (Lilford's wall lizard) is the source of this 100-nucleotide non-coding RNA. Lineage: Eukaryota; Metazoa; Chordata; Lepidosauria; Squamata; Lacertidae. The record is from the annotation of a GenBank genome assembly.